Molecule: long non-coding RNA, 581 nt
Organism: Cygnus olor (mute swan)
Lineage: Eukaryota; Metazoa; Chordata; Aves; Anseriformes; Anatidae
Exons: 3
Source: RefSeq, a predicted model, not a curated record
AAUCUUCCUCUUUUAGCUGUGGAAGACAACGUCCACACACCACAUCUGUCACAUAACUGAUAACUGUGCUUUUUAGUUGUAUCACCCCUCAGGAAGCAUGAGUUUGGCAUAGCUCUCCGAAGACUGCAAGUUCAGUUUCUGAUCUGGAAGAAUGAGUGGAUGGUUCCUGCUCUUGCUGUUUACCCAUGAAGAGCCUAACCUUGUGAAAUCUUUACAUAAGGCUUGUGCAGAUUUUUGUUUACAUCAAAUCUAAACUGAAACUUAAACCUGGAUGGAAUUCUUUCCCCCCACCCUUCACAGUUUCAGUUAUAUUGGCACAGGGUUCUAUGUUACUGAAGCAACACAGAAACCAACAGAACUACUGUGGUUUAGUAAGAAGCAGAAAUGGAGACAAGCCUUUUCAUUUCCAAAGCUAUAUAACAUGGUUUUUGAUCACAUUAAAUACUUGCAUCAAAGUUCCAUUGAUCUCACUAUUAAAAACAACUAUAUUCAUAGUAGUUUUAAUAAGAUUAUUUUUAUAGUUAUUGAUUGCCUCAUGUAUUUGUUUUAUUCCAAAAAAUGCAAAAAUGUAAGGGCACUUA